This 253-nucleotide ribosomal RNA is filed under the name uncultured prokaryote. Its description in RNAcentral is "partial 16S ribosomal RNA". It matches the Rfam family "Bacterial small subunit ribosomal RNA", at positions 525 to 777 of the family's 1533-position model. The record is from RNAcentral.
ACGAAGGGUGCAAGCGUUAAUCGGAAUUACUGGGCGUAAAGGGUGCGUAGGCGGUUCGUUAAGUCUGUCGUGAAAUCCCCGGGCUCAACCUGGGAAUGGCGAUGGAUACUGGCGAGCUAGAGCGUGUCAGAGGAUGGUGGAAUUCCCGGUGUAGCGGUGAAAUGCGUAGAUAUUGGGAGGAACACCAGUGGCGAAGGCGGCUCACUGGACCGGAACUGACGCUGAGGCGCGAAAGCGUGGGGAGCAAACAGGA